UUCCUUGAGUUUUUGUUGUUUCUCUCUGUCUGUCUUUUCUAUCUGCUUUAUUUUCCUUUCUCUCUAAAUAGGAAAGAAAAAAAAAAAAAAAAAAGGCCACCAGAAAGAAACUAGUGGUGGCAUUUUCCAAAGCUUGCUGUCUGAUGUUCCACUCCAUGUAUUAAUCACUUCUAGAUAUCAGCUAUGACCUUUGCUCAACCAAUAUUGACUUAUUGUUUGAGAUGUCUCACACAAUGUUGAUUCCAAUUUAUAUUUUAAAAUACUAAGACACUGUCUGCAUAAACAAACUUCCUUUUGUUUAAGCGAGCUUCAUAUUAAGAAGAUUUCAAACUUGCUGAUACAUAGUAGCUAAGGAUCUUUGCCACUGUGGAAAUCUAAUAGGCAUUGUGGGGUUUUGUUACAGGUAUGUAGGCUACCGCCAAACAAAUUGUUGGAUGAACUAGCUUUGAAAUGGUCUUCAUUUCGACUCGGACUGCUAUUAAAAACGGAUGAAUUAAUGAUAUCCCAAGUCGGCCUUGUUGGUCACUAAUGAUUGCCUUUCGCCUACCCUUUCAUCUACAACCAACGUCGAAUGACCUUCGAUUUCAGAUAGGAAAACAUAUUGAAGUUUUAUGUAGCAGUUUGAGAACAUACAAGCACAAUUGCAGCAGCAGGAAUUAGAAACAACUCAACUCUAGGGACGUCAUAUUUGCCACAACCUUCCAACUCCAUUCAAUACAUCCAAAUUAGGGUGAAAAUCACCUACUCUCCUGGCAAUCAUUGAAGCAGUUAACAGAAAACUGGAUAAGGUGAUCACUGAAGGAGAUCUGCACAUCUCAAAGAUUUUGUAAAUUCAUCCCAUCACUGACCACAUAUCAUCUGUACUGAAAAAGACAUUGGUUGCCAAACCGAUUUUGAAUUAAUGAUAACCCAAGUAAGUCGGUUGCCCCUGGUCGUAUUAUGUCUUUUGCGAAUCACCUGGCCUUCCAUCUCCUACCACCAAUGUUGGAUGACCUUGAAUUCUCAGGGGAUUAUUUCCUUUGAUAUUUGUUCCUUCUCUCUACGUAUUAUAUUUGUUUUCCCCUUUCUUUCUAAGUUCCUGUAACAGACGACGGCACAUCUAAAGGUGAGAGUUUGGGAGGAUGCCGUUGCUAGGGAUCGAGAUCUGAAGAUGGGUUCGAGAGGAAAGCAAGCACAAGGGUAACACGUGAAGAAGGGACUUCUGGUGGGAAAGUACUUAGUUGCUGUGUACUUGUUCCGAGGCUGGGCCCUCAAGAAGAUCCUGAUGGGUUACGGUUCCAGCGCCCAACGCCCAUAGUUAUCUUUUCUUACUUACAUUUAUGGUUCAUAGAAGUCUGAGAAGACUAGUUGCAACUAAGUAAGUGAGUUGUUUUUAUUUUCUUGUUUUUAUUUCAUCUGUAAGUGUCAAUUGUCAGGCCCAUGGCCUCAUCCUUGUCUAAUUUCUGGAGGCGCUCCCCUGAAUACAGCUACUCUCCCUGUCACAGUUCAGUUUAUUUUUUUUGUGGAAAAUAUUAGUAUGCCUCGUAAA
Molecule: long non-coding RNA, 1528 nt
Organism: Carya illinoinensis
Lineage: Eukaryota; Viridiplantae; Streptophyta; Magnoliopsida; Fagales; Juglandaceae
Exons: 2
Source: RefSeq, a predicted model, not a curated record